This 496-nucleotide long non-coding RNA is filed under the name Pan troglodytes (chimpanzee). RNAcentral's name for it is "long non-coding RNA NONPTRT003272". Lineage: Eukaryota; Metazoa; Chordata; Mammalia; Primates; Hominidae. The record is from RNAcentral.
GCCUGCCUUGGCCUCUCAAAAUGCUGGGAUUACAGGCAUGAGCCACAGCGCCUGGCCAAUAUUUUUAUAUUUCUAUUGGACAGUGUAGUUUCUCCCGUAUUCUUAAUACAUGACUAGCCACACGGAGUGACAUUCCAAGCCAGAACCGGAAAACUACUCCCCCAAUGGCAACGGAAUGUCUUUGUGAAGAAUCAAGUAUUUCAUACUCGAGUGUUACAAGCAUUUUCAGAGUGUGUCUCAAACAAGGACACUGGGGAUGGGCCUCGGACAGUGCAAGAGGGAACUGUUGCCAGGCCUGGGAGGAGCCACUCACGAACACAGGGAGGGUGCGUGUGUGUGGAGCGGGGCAGUAGACCCAGAGUUCUCACUGGUAGCAUAUUUCAUGGCACAGCUGGGCAUAGAAAUCAUAAUUUCUGGGCACAGAAAUAAAGAAUUUGUAUUAUUUUCUUCUCUCUUUUCUCUAAUUCUCACAUUUUUUCUUCUCCCCUCUCCUUUC